GAUCAAACUCACCCUUAAUCUUCACCAACCUCUCGAAAUUCCCUUUGUAAUACUUAGCACCCCACUCUCUAGCAUCAGUCUCUCCUUCAUUAGUCCCCAAAUCAAGAUCCCUGUAAUUCACAUACGCCUGUCUCGGGUUCUUCGACACAUACUGCUCCAUGUAACUAUACAUCUCCCUAAUCCACUUCAUAUGCCUUUCCUCGCUCACUUUCCCAUCUUGCCACGUGCUUAGCCACUGAAUCUUGAACAAUGUCCCGUUCCUAUGAGGGAAAGGUAUCUCUGACUCGGAGAUCCUCGACAUCAUUCCUCCGUAAGGGUUCCAUAUCGUUAACGGUGAAUCUUCUUCUAGAAACCUUUCCCAUAAUCCUUCUAAACCUUCUACUGGAAUUGGCUCUUUC
Molecule: long non-coding RNA, 398 nt
Organism: Arabidopsis thaliana (thale cress)
Lineage: Eukaryota; Viridiplantae; Streptophyta; Magnoliopsida; Brassicales; Brassicaceae
Product: other RNA
Exons: 1
Source: RefSeq